GGACGCCUGCGCAUUGUGUCGCCGACGUUGUGUAGUCUCCCCUGGCAAAGGAGAGUCAGGCGAGUCCACGUGAGGGAAGCCCCCGCUGUGCGCGGAGCCCUCUGCUGGGCGGAGGGGGAGUGCCAGCCCCCAGGAGCUAAUCCCCGGCUGAUGGCGCAGGGCGCGGGGCUUGGCCGUGGAGUGUGAUGAAGGAGGCGACCCCCAAGGUGGGAAGGAGCACGGGUUGGGGUUUGAGGGUGGAUGAUUGGUGACGGAGGGUGUAUCUUCAGGAGGAGGUUCGAGUGAAGAUCAAAGACUUGAAUGAACACAUUGUUUGCUGCCUAUGCGCCGGCUACUUCGUGGAUGCCACCACCAUCACAGAGUGUCUUCAUACUUUCUGCAAGAGUUGUAUUGUGAAGUACCUCCAAACUAGCAAGUAUUGCCCCAUGUGCAACAUUAAGAUCCACGAGACACAGCCACUGCUCAACCUCAAACUGGACCGGGUCAUGCAGGACAUCGUGUAUAAGCUGGUGCCUGGCUUGCAAGACAGUGAAGAGAAACGGAUUCGGGAAUUCUACCAGUCCCGAGGUUUGGACCGGGUCACCCAGCCCAGUGGGGAAGAGCCAGCACUGAGUAACCUCGGCCUCCCCUUCAGCAGCUUUGACCACUCUAAAGCCCACUACUAUCGCUAUGAUGAGCAGCUGAACCUGUGCCUGGAGCGGCUGAGUUCUGGCAAAGACAAGAAUAAAAGCGUCCUGCAGAACAAGUAUGUCCGAUGUUCUGUUAGAGCUGAGGUACGCCAUCUCCGGAGGGUCCUGUGUCACCGCUUGAUGCUAAACCCUCAGCAUGUGCAGCUCCUUUUUGACAAUGAAGUUCUCCCUGAUCACAUGACAAUGAAGCAGAUAUGGCUCUCCCGCUGGUUCGGCAAGCCAUCCCCUUUGCUUUUACAAUACAGUGUGAAAGAGAAGAGGAGGUAGGGGCCAAGCCCCCACCCCAUCCCACUCCCCUUCCCUUCCCAGAUAUUUAUGUGAAAUGAACUGCAGCUUUAUUUUUUGAAAUAAAAACUUUUAAAAAGCA
Molecule: small RNA, 1056 nt
Filed under: Pongo abelii (Sumatran orangutan)
Lineage: Eukaryota; Metazoa; Chordata; Mammalia; Primates; Hominidae
Description: retained intron
Source: RNAcentral